AGAGUUUGAUCAUGGCUCAGAUUGAACGCUGGCGGCAUGCCUAACACAUGCAAGUCGAACGGAAACGAUGGGAGCUUGCUCCCAGGCGUCGAGUGGCGGACGGGUGAGUAAUACUUAGGAAUCUGCCCAGUAGUGGGGGACAACUCGGGGAAACUCGAGCUAAUACCGCAUACGCACUACGGUGGAAAGUGGGGGAUCUUCGGACCUCACGCUAUUGGAUGAGCCUAAGUCGGAUUAGCUUGUUGGUGGGGUAAAGGCCUACCAAGGCGACGAUCCGUAGCUGGUCUGAGAGGACGAUCAGCCACACUGGGACUGAGACACGGCCCAGACUCCUACGGGAGGCAGCAGUGGGGAAUAUUGGACAAUGGGCGCAAGCCUGAUCCAGCAAUGCCGCGUGUGUGAAGAAGGCCUGCGGGUUGUAAAGCACUUUCAGUAGAGAAGAAAAGCCUAGGGAUAAUACCCUUGGGUCUUGACGUUACCUACAGAAGAAGCACCGGCUAACUCCGUGCCAGCAGCCGCGGUAAUACGGAGGGUGCGAGCGUUAAUCGGAAUUACUGGGCGUAAAGCGCGCGUAGGUGGUUGUGCAAGUCGGAUGUGAAAGCCCAGGGCUUAACCUUGGAAUUGCAUCCGAUACUGCAUAACUAGAGUAUGGUAGAGGGAAGUGGAAUUUCCGGUGUAGCGGUGAAAUGCGUAGAUAUCGGAAGGAACACCAGUGGCGAAGGCGACUUCCUGGGCCAAUACUGACACUGAGGUGCGAAAGCGUGGGG
This 767-nucleotide ribosomal RNA is filed under the name uncultured bacterium. Its description in RNAcentral is "bacterial SSU rRNA". It matches the Rfam family "Bacterial small subunit ribosomal RNA", at positions 8 to 766 of the family's 1533-position model. The record is from RNAcentral.